AAUCAAGCGUCUUAAGGGCAUUCGGUGGAUGCCUUGGCGCGCAGAGGCGAUGAAGGACGUGGCACGCUGCGAUAAGCCAUGGGGAGCUGUGAGCAAGCUUUGAUCCGUGGAUUUCCGAAUGGGGAAACCCAACCCGCAAGGGUUAUCGUUACCUGAAUACAUAGGGUAACGAAGCGAACCCGGGGAACUGAAACAUCUCAGUACCCGGAGGAAAGGACAUCAACCGAGACUCCCGUAGUAGUGGCGAGCGAACCGGGACCAGGCCAGUGCUCUUGUGAAAUAAAGUCGAACGACCUGGAAAGGUCGGCCAUAGCGGGUGACAGCCCCGUAGACGUCAAACAGCAAGAGACUCGAGUAGGGCGGGACACGUGAAAUCCUGUCUGAACAUGGGGGGACCACCCUCCAAGCCUAAGUACUCCUUUGUGACCGAUAGCGUACAAGUACCGUGAGGGAAAGGUGAAAAGUACCCCGAUAAGGGGAGUGAAACAGUUCCUGAAACCGGAUGCCUACAAACAGUCGGAGCACCUAUAAGGUGUGACGGCGUACCUUUUGUAUAAUGGGUCAGCGAGUUUAUCUGUGGAGCAAGCUUAAGCCGAUAGGUGUAGGCGAAGGGAAACCGAGUCUGAAUAGGGCGAUGAGUUCCGCGGAUAAGACCCGAAACCGAGUGAUCUAGAUAUGGGCAGGUUGAAGACACCUUAACCGGUGUUGGAGGACCGAACCCACGCCUGUUGCAAAAGGCGGGGAUGACCUGUGUCUAGGGGUGAAAGGCUAAUCAAACUCGGAUAUAGCUGGUUCUCCGCGAAAUCUAUUGAGGUAGAGCGUCGUGUGAUGACCACGGGGGGUAGAGCACUGAAUAGGCUAGGGGGGCGCGAGCCUUACCAACCCUAAUCAAACUCCGAAUACCCGUGAGUUUAACACGGCAGACAGUCUGUGGGUGAUAAGGUCCAUGGACGAGAGGGAAACAGCCCUGACCGCCAGCUAAGGUCCCCAAUUCAUGGCUAAGUGGAAAAGGAAGUGGGGAG
This 1022-nucleotide ribosomal RNA is filed under the name Hydrogenophaga sp. RNAcentral describes it as "partial 23S ribosomal RNA". It matches the Rfam family "Bacterial large subunit ribosomal RNA", at positions 1 to 1082 of the family's 2925-position model. Lineage: Bacteria; Pseudomonadati; Pseudomonadota; Betaproteobacteria; Burkholderiales; Comamonadaceae. The record is from RNAcentral.